RNAcentral lists this ribosomal RNA (253 nucleotides) under uncultured bacterium. Its description in RNAcentral is "partial 16S ribosomal RNA". It matches the Rfam family "Bacterial small subunit ribosomal RNA", at positions 524 to 776 of the family's 1533-position model. The record is from RNAcentral.
UACGUAGGGGGCUAACGUUGCUCGGAAUCACUGGGCGUAAAGGGUGCGUAGGCGGGUCUUUAAGUCAGGGGUGAAAUCCUGGAGCUCAACUCCAGAACUGCCUUUGAUACUGAGGAUCUUGAGUUCGGGAGAGGUGAGUGGAACUGCGAGUGUAGAGGUGAAAUUCGUAGAUAUUCGCAAGAACACCAGUGGCGAAGGCGGCUCACUGGCCCGAUACUGACGCUGAGGCACGAAAGCGUGGGGAGCAAACAGG